CAGUCGCCACGGGAAUACGUAGGUGGCAAGCGUUGUCCGGAAUUAUUGGGCGUAAAGGGCUCGCAGGCGGUUUCCUAAGUCUGAUGUGAAAGCCCCCGGCUCAACCGGGGAGGGUCAUUGGAAACUGGGAAACUUGAGUGCAGAAGAGGAGAGUGGAAUUCCACGUGUAGCGGUGAAAUGCGUAGAGAUGUGGAGGAACACCAGUGGCGAAGGCGACUCUCUGGUCUGUAACUGACGCUGAGGAGCGAAAGCGUGGGGAGCGAACAGGAUUAGAUACCCCCGUAGUCCCUGUCUCUUAUAC
RNAcentral lists this ribosomal RNA (301 nucleotides) under uncultured bacterium. RNAcentral's name for it is "partial 16S ribosomal RNA". It matches the Rfam family "Bacterial small subunit ribosomal RNA", at positions 509 to 807 of the family's 1533-position model. The record is from RNAcentral.